CUUUCCGCAGGCUGCGCUGGCGGUCGAGGUUUGCAGGCCGGAAGUGAAGCGUUCUUUUUUGAUUUUUAAAAAGGAAGCCUCCGGCCCUACGGUUUUCUGGGGUUGGAGUGGAUGUGUGUGCUGGGGAAGGCGGAGACGUCCCGCUCCAGGCAGGGCCUCGGGUCUUAUAGGUGGGGAAAUCUCUGCCAAAUAGGACGCCUCUCGGAGCCUCAGUUUCCCCAUCUGCAGACUGGGCUCUGACUUCUGGCAUAAGAGGGUGAGAGUAAAAGGUGGCAGCUAGCCCCGUGCCGGGAGACACGUCAGCCAUGUCAUCUGAGCCUCCCCCACCACCACAGCCCCCCACCCAGCAAGCUUCAGUCGGGCUGCUGGACACCCCUCGGACCCGCGAGCGCUCACCAUCCCCUCUGCGGGGCAACGUGGUCCCAAGCCCACUGCCCACUCGCCGGACGAGGACCUUCUCAGCGUGAGUCUGGAGCGGGCUAGGGAUGCAUUCUCAGAUGGAUCUCUUGCCUGAGGCCAGAGAUUCACUGUGUAUCUGGCCAUUUUUGGGCCUAUGUCCCAGACUGUCAA
RNAcentral lists this small RNA (570 nucleotides) under Pongo abelii (Sumatran orangutan). RNAcentral's name for it is "retained intron". The record is from RNAcentral. Lineage: Eukaryota; Metazoa; Chordata; Mammalia; Primates; Hominidae.